Molecule: transfer RNA, 71 nt
Filed under: Camelus bactrianus (Bactrian camel)
Lineage: Eukaryota; Metazoa; Chordata; Mammalia; Artiodactyla; Camelidae
Also listed under: 2 other names
Rfam family: tRNA
About the family: Transfer RNA (tRNA) molecules are approximately 80 nucleotides in length. Their secondary structure includes four short double-helical elements and three loops (D, anti-codon, and T loops).
Source: Rfam by way of RNAcentral
GUGGGUACAGCUCAGUGGUGGGGCACAUGCUUAGCACGCUUGAGUCCCAGGUUCAAUCCCCAGUACCUCCA